RNAcentral lists this transfer-messenger RNA (112 nucleotides) under fish metagenome. Its description in RNAcentral is "transfer-messenger RNA Herba_serop_SmR1.1". It matches the Rfam family "transfer-messenger RNA", at positions 14 to 129 of the family's 374-position model. From Rfam's summary of the family: Bacterial tmRNA, also known as 10Sa RNA or SsrA, is named for its dual tRNA and mRNA-like properties. Its role is to liberate the mRNA from a stalled ribosome. The record is from RNAcentral.
UUUCGACAGGGGUUGCAAAGCGGAACAGGGCAUGCCGAGGACUGGUUACCUCGUUAAUCCAUCCGGAACUGCUUAAAUGCAAACGACGAAUCUUACGCUCUCGCAGCGUAAA